RNAcentral lists this transfer RNA (82 nucleotides) under Candidatus Margulisbacteria bacterium GWF2_35_9. Its description in RNAcentral is "tRNA-Leu". It matches the Rfam family "tRNA". From Rfam's summary of the family: Transfer RNA (tRNA) molecules are approximately 80 nucleotides in length. Their secondary structure includes four short double-helical elements and three loops (D, anti-codon, and T loops). Further hydrogen bonds mediate the characteristic L-shaped molecular structure. tRNAs have two regions of fundamental functional importance: the anti-codon, which is responsible for specific mRNA codon recognition, and the 3' end, to which the tRNAs corresponding amino acid is attached (by aminoacyl-tRNA synthetases). tRNAs cope with the degeneracy of the genetic code in two manners: having more than one tRNA (with a specific anti-codon) for a particular amino acid; and 'wobble' base-pairing, i.e. permitting non-standard base-pairing at the 3rd anti-codon position. Lineage: Bacteria; Bacillati; Candidatus Margulisiibacteriota. The record is from RNAcentral.
GCGCGUGUGGUGGAAUGGCAGACACGCUAGACUUAGGAUCUAGUGCUUCGGCGUGGGGGUUCAAGUCCCUCCACGCGCACCA